RNAcentral lists this small RNA (644 nucleotides) under Pan troglodytes (chimpanzee). Its description in RNAcentral is "retained intron". The record is from RNAcentral. Lineage: Eukaryota; Metazoa; Chordata; Mammalia; Primates; Hominidae.
AAAUAUAAAUAUAUUUUUUUGCAAAAAUAAACUGAAUUAUUCUCUGGAGUUUUUUUAGAUUCCGGGAUUUGUUUGGUUUUUACCAAGCUCUUCUAUCAGUUUUUCAAGUAGUGUAAAAAAAGAAAAUCCUCUAGAAGACUUCUUUUUAACAAACUGCAUUUUAACUUUUUUUAAAGGGUAAAAGUUUACACAAAAACCGAUGGCCUGGUUGCUGUUCAUCCUAAAUCUGUUAAUGUGGAGCAAACAGACUUUCACUACAACUGGCUUAUCUAUCACCUAAAGAUGAGAACAAGCAGUAUAUACUUGUAUGACUGCACAGAGGUUUCCCCAUACUGUCUCUUGUUUUUUGGAGGUGACAUUUCCAUCCAGAAGGAUAACGAUCAGGAAACUAUUGCUGUAGAUGAGUGGAUUGUAUUUCAGUCUCCAGCAAGAAUUGCCCAUCUUGUUAAGGUGACUGACUUUAUGUGAUUAUCUUAAAUCUACAUGUAAGUCAGCAUGUGGUCAUGUGGUUUUGUUCUAACUGUUAAAUAGAUUAACAUUUCUUGCUCUAUUUCAGCAGAGCAAAUAAUUUUGAAAAAAUGAUUCCUGGUUUUUCUGAAUUGUGUUUUGAGGUGGUAACAGACCAGCCAUUCUAAAUGGCUCAG